Long non-coding RNA from Triplophysa rosa, 5615 nucleotides. RefSeq lists it as uncharacterized. The transcript has 3 exons. The record is from RefSeq and is a predicted model, not a curated record. Lineage: Eukaryota; Metazoa; Chordata; Actinopteri; Cypriniformes; Nemacheilidae.
AGCGGUAAUAAUAUUACGAUAUUAGAAGGGCAAGUCGUUGUGGAGGUAUUGGCGUUUAAUCGCUGAAUGUGUCGGGAAUAUCGAAAACAAAACUAACUUUACCCCGCUCUUCAAGCACCACACUUUCACGCCUCACUUUAUCACACUAUCUUUAGUAGUCGAGGUAAUUGUUCUACCCUGUCGACGAGUUAUACAGCUGAUUUCUGCAGUGCGCAGUGUACAUGUUAUAAGAUGGUGAUCAGUGACAUCGUCGCUUUGAGGUAUAAUAUUGGUUACAUCGGCUCCGUGAGAUAUAAUCAAGUCUAGUGUAUGAUUAAAUCGAUGAGUGGGUCCAUUGAUGUGUUGUGUUACUCCAAAAGAGUGUAUAGUAGCUCUGUAAACGCCACUGCUAAUGCAUCGUUAGCACUAUCUACGUGGAUAUUAAAAUCUCCGACAAUUAGUACUUUAUCAACGUUAACCAAUAGGUCCGAUAAGAAGUCCGCGAACUCUUUCAGAAAAUCAGUGUAGGGACCAGGGGGUCUAUACACAGUAGCCAAUGUAAGAGAAAGCAAUGGUUUUUUUACUUUCGUUUGGAACAAUUAUGUUCAACGCAAGCACUUUAAAUGAUUUAAAUUUAUGCUCUGUUCUCUGAGUUACAGUAAGAAAGUCUCUAAAGAUUGAUGCAACACCACCACCUCGACCAACCGGACGUGGCUCAUGCACCACACAGAAGUAUUCUCGUCGCUUCAAAUUUUUUUUAAUUGAGCCACUAUGAGCGGAUGGACCAAUUUCACGAUGUCUUUAGUACUUUUCUGGACCUUGACAACAACUAUAACCACGAUGUCUAUGAGGAGGCCUGGAAAUCUCUCGGAUGUCACCUAAAUAUCUUUAGUUGUGCUCCGAAGACGCCGGGAGGCCUUAAAACAUGUUGAACGUCAUGUGGUGUUGAGCUGGAGAAGAUGGCGGCUGUUGUAGUGAACGCUGAUGGAGAGGUCGCGUCUCUGGACUCGGGUUCAGUUUCUCCGCGGUUAUCCUCACCGUCACCGGAUCAGCCGCACCAGAACAACGCGCUGCUGUCGCUGCCGAUUGUGGCCAUCGACACUAUCCUCAACUUCCUGUCUUACGAUGAGAUCAGUCUGCUUAGACCGGUGAGAAAACAACGACUGCAGACAAACAGCUGCGAGAUCGCCUUAUAUUCCACGUUGUGUGAAACAGUAGUAAGAUGAAAACAGCAGUAAGAUGAAAAUAGCAGAUCGGGAUGUUAUGGGCGCGUGGCAAACGCGCGUUUACUGCCAUGUCCAGAUCUGCAGCAGACGCCUGUGAUGUCUAGAUAUGCUGUCUGCUCGCUAGUGCACUAGACUCCCUAACACUGAUGGGCAACAGUUUUGUUUAGUUAGGCAGCCAGAUGUCGUCUAGAUGGAUAGCUAGCUGGGUGGGUGAAAAGCUGUCUAUAUAGGAAAUUCACUAGGCUGUAUAUGUGUGUAGAUAAAAUAGUGAGUGCACAAUGCGUCCUGUAAAAGCUUCUGGUGCACGUGUCCGUUUUAAAAGGGUUGUAAUAACCCAUAAACAUCUAUAAAAGCAGCUAAGUUAAUAUGCUUUCCAUUCAUAUGCACCCAUUUCUUAUCAAUGCUUUUUCUUAGUGUCACUACUGAAAACACUUGUUUUGAGAUUCAUGCAUAUAUUUUCACAACUGGUUUAGGUUUAAUUCAUCUAAAAAUCACAAAAUGUUGUUAAAUCCUGUUAUGGUUUAUUUCAGCACUCAGUAGGGGUGUAACGUCAUUGUAGUAGGAUGCUUUGCAAUACGUAAAAACAUUGUGUAUUAUAUGACAAUUUCUGAAGUCUGUUUAUUCCUUUUGAGUGACCUGCCAAGAUGCAAAGAUCCCAGCUUAUGGAUAAGAAGGUGGAUAUGAUGGUAUAUUUGUGAAAGAAAAACAUUUUUGGACAGGAUACAUUUUUUCUGCUUUUAGUGCAUAAAGUCCCCAUGAAAUUAAACUUAUUUACUGUUAGCUCACACAGGGCUCUAGACUCAUUUUUCGCACUCGUCGCACUGGUGCGAUCCACUUUCUCAGUGGGUUUUUUUGUGGAUUUACACAAAAGUAAAUCCACUUUCUCAGUGGGUCGCACCAACUUACAAUUCGGUCGCACCCUUUUUUAUAGUAAUCAUAAAGACCUUACAUAAUGAUCUCAGUUGAUGAAUCGUUCUGUUAAUUUGUCACUCUGUCUUUUAAAGUAGUCGGCUAUAGAUCGCUUCAUAUUUGCGCUUUAACACUUGCGAGUGACCCAAAAAAUCCAAAAUAAAUGCAAAGAAACUUUGUAUUUGUUAUUUUAUACAGUUGUUAUUAUUUAGUUUAUAUUCAAAUUAUAUAUUGGCUAUGAAAUAAUCUGACACAAAUAUAACCUGUCACUUCACAAUCAUAUUUUAUUACCCUCUUUGCAAAAAGCUGAUAUUUUGCCACUGGCCUUCUUUAUUUUUACCACAUAAAAUUAAAUCAAAUUAGCUAGCUCAAAACUCAAAAGUAACUCAGAACGAAAUUAUUAUAUAUGUACUUUACUACUCAUUUUCAUAAAUAAACUUUAAAUACUUAAUCUUACUAACCACUCUUGUUAAAUGGUCUAAGCACGCUUGUGUUCUGAUGUGUUUUGAGUCACGGCUUCAGAGUCAGACAGUGAAUCUCGUAAGUUCAGUGUUUGACAUAGGAGUUGUUUCAACAAAAUGAAUCGGUUCAAAUGAGUCAUUACGUCGCGAAUCGGACAUUAGCGGACAUUGACGCGAUUUUUGUUUUUCACAGCUGUUAGGACAAAGCAAAAGAUAGAAGUUAACACGGAAAACACUUCACUGGAUAGGAUUUUUCCUUUAUGUCAGCUGGAUGUGUGGAACAUAUUAAUAAAAAUAUUCUCUGAAUGCGCCAUGUGAAACAUGAAUUUUGUCUUCCGACAUGGCUUUUGAUUAAAGUGUAAGGGAAAGAGACAGUUCAGAAACCGGCAUGUUCGUCUUCAUUAAGGACUGCACAGAACGAUCGGAAUAUGACAUCAAUGUUCUGUGAGAGCGUUUUAAAAGCAUAUUGAGCGCUCUGUCCCGUGAUGCUUUUAUGCUCUUCGGUCUAUGCAAAACUGAAUGAAGUCAAACACACACUUUAGUUUGGAGACAGAGGGAGUGCACAAGCUCUCUGCUUGCUCUUCCCUGCACUAAUCACAAGCGCGUCAUUCACUACUCAUAAAUCACAUUAAAUGUUUACAUAAAUCUUUGGCGAGGCAAAAAUUCCUUUAACGCGCUCGCAGCAAUGCGACCCUGUGAAAUCGCACGUUAUAAAAAACCGAUCGCAUUUGCGAGCAAUUUGGUCGCAGUCUAUAGCCCUGUCACAUUACUAGUUUAGUGUUAACCAGUUCAUCUGUGCAAGUCACAAUACUAAAGUCAAUUUUAGCAUCUGCUUCACACAGACUUUAAGAAAGGAAUAAGCAGCCAUGUUUGCAACUCCUCUGGGCUGCGUUUCCCAAAAGUAGGGAUGGGGAGUCGACUCCAAAAGAGUCGAUUCCUCGACUCUUAAUGUCGCUAAAGUCGGAAUCGAAUCCAAGACAGGAAUCGACUCGUCGACUCCGUAAUUUUUAAUGUUGUCAUUGACUCAAAUCGGUUACAUUGUCUUUGUGAUUGGCGCAAAGCAACGAAUAACAUUUAAAAACCAAUCAGGUAAAAGUCAUACCUCUCUCUCUGAUCGUACACGUUUACAGCCGAUCCAAAACACUGCAUUAAUCAGAGCAUGAGCGACGCCUACUUGUUCGCUCACAAAAGUACACGCAAUAUUUCCCAUUCAUUCUUCACCUUCAAUCCGAUCUCAUUAUAUUCUAAAAAAUUCCUAUUAAAAACUCCUAAAUUUCGUCUGUCGCUCUUCAAGCUUUUAUUUCUCUAAACGACUGUUAAGAUUUUGUAAGUUGCUUUAAAUGAAAGCGUGGCGCUAUGCUUAAAUGUGAGUCUGUGCGCAUAACUGGACACAAAUCAAAAUCAAGUUUGUGGAAACAAAUUAUAAAGCGUAUUCAUUUGUGUAACUGUAACUCUCCAAAAUCGAUGCAAUAAAAAAAUAUAAAAACAAUAAAGGAAACGAAAUGUCUUAGCUUUACCAUAAGUCUAAAGCUACGAUUAGACCUGGGCCGUCAUGUCCUUGCACUGCGUGCACUUGGAAAACCACAUCGGUUUAGGACCAGCAAGGAGUAACUGGUCUGACAGCACAAAAAACUCUCUGUGAUGGUGUUAGAUGCACAAAUGCAUGUGUAUAUAGUGACUUUGGAGAUUGGUUGCCAGCCCAACGUUCCCAAGCUGAAGUUCAUUCAUUUAUUUUAUAUUCGUAUUCCUGAGCCCGUUUUGAAUGACAGUAAAUGGAGUCGAUUCCAUCGACUCCAAAAGUGGGAGUCGAGAAUCUGAGUCGACUCCAAAAAACCCGGAACCGAACACACCUACCCAAAAGCAUCGUAAACCCACAUUAAUCAUAGCUCCAUUGGUGACAGUGGUUCUAAAAUCAGUUUAAGAUUACGAUACCCCUGCAGCCCUGGGCAGUUAUUUACGUAAUAGCAAGUCAACAGUCCUAUCUCCUUGAAUGGUGGGAGGCAGAUAUUUCUAAAAUGGCUGGCAAAACAUCACAAUUAAAUGGCAUAUUUCCGCUAAAAAUCAAGGUCGUUUCAGCUACUGCACAUGGGCACAGGCUGGCAGGUGGCUCACAAGAACCCCGCUUCAGAUAAUUGUCUUUAUCGAUUGACCUUUUUAUGGGAGUUGGGACCGUUGCAUUCCCAUCCAUGAACUUGAUAACAAUUAUGGGCAUCAACAUUUUAUUUAAAACGGUUUUGUUUUGUUGUGGAAAUAAAUGCGAUAUUUGAGUUCCAGCUUCAUUUUUAAAUGUUGUUUAAAGAGCAGGUUUCAUGAAUCUCAUAAAAUUACCGGCAUUUCAGUGUGUAAUGUAGCGUUCCUUCAAUUUUGACGAUCUGCAAAGUUGUUAUUUCAAAAAGUCCAUGAUAAAUUAAGAUAUUGGCUUCCAAAGUAAGGAGUCGACUCCGAACCGCCCAAACAAAUCGUUAGGCUUUCAAAUCUUUUGAGUGUAACAUCGAUAUGUCACAGUGUAAUGCAUCAGCACAAUCCCCGCCUUCCCGCGAAACAGGAACACUCUGACCUGCCCACUAGCACUUCAGGUAGUGUUGCGUAUACAACAUGUCAAGGAGACGCUGUGUUUUGUGCUGUGAAUGCAAAUGUACUUAGUUUUCGCUGCCAAAGGAUGACGAUGUGAAGGAUCAGUGGCUAUUUUUUUUUCCCACGAUACAACUGCAGUACAAUUCCAACCUUGUGUAAUGUGCUCGUCAUUUUACCGCCGACUGCUUCUCAAAUUUUGGCGAGUUCAACGCGGGAUUUGCCAGCCGCUAGACCCUGAAAGAUAAGUCAAUACCAACUUUAUUUGGACUAACAAGCGUCUCAGAACCACAAGCUGUAAGUAUGAUAAAUACGUUAUGUGUACAUGUUAAAUUGAGUGCUUACAAUAUACGUUAAAGUAAUUGUGCUAAUCCGUGUUGUAUAUUUAGUACAGCUGUAGGUUUCCAGGUAAACAACGUAUAAGUUAACAGUGUUACAGUUUUAAUAAUCCAACUCUUACCUAAUAAUG